Molecule: ribosomal RNA, 324 nt
Filed under: uncultured eukaryote
Lineage: Eukaryota
Description: partial 18S ribosomal RNA
Rfam family: Eukaryotic small subunit ribosomal RNA
Source: RNAcentral
CCCUUAGAUGUUCUGGGCCGCACGCGCGCUACACUGAUGCAUUCAACGAGUUUCUUCCUGGUCCGAGAGGAAUGGGUAACCUUUUGAAAGUGCAUCGUGAUAGGGAUAGACUAUUGCAAUUAUUGGUCUUCAACGAGGAAUUCCUAGUAGACGUAGUUCAUCAGACUGCAUCGAUUACGUCCCUGCCCUUUGUACACACCGCCCGUCGCUCCUACCGAUUGAAUGCUCAGGUGAGCAAUUCGGACUUUCAUCAUGCUGGUUUCCAGUUUUGAUGAAGGAAAGUCUUGCGAACCUUAUCAUUUAGAGGAAGGAGAAGUCGUAACA